This 253-nucleotide ribosomal RNA is filed under the name uncultured bacterium. Its description in RNAcentral is "partial 16S ribosomal RNA". It matches the Rfam family "Bacterial small subunit ribosomal RNA", at positions 524 to 776 of the family's 1533-position model. The record is from RNAcentral.
UACAGAGGUCUCAAGCGUUGUUCGGAUUCAUUGGGCGUAAAGGGUGCGUAGGCGGCGCGGUAAGUCGGGUGUGAAAUCUUGGAGCUUAACUCCGAAACUGCAUUCGAUACUGCCGUGCUUGAGGACUGGAGAGGAGACUGGAAUUUACGGUGUAGCGGUGAAAUGCGUAGAUAUCGUGAGGAAGACCAGUGGCGAAGGCGGAUCUCUGGACAGCUCCUGACGCUGAGGCGCGAAGGCUAGGGGAGCAAACGGG